RNAcentral lists this ribosomal RNA (450 nucleotides) under uncultured bacterium. RNAcentral describes it as "bacterial SSU rRNA". It matches the Rfam family "Bacterial small subunit ribosomal RNA", at positions 355 to 796 of the family's 1533-position model. The record is from RNAcentral.
UAGGGAAUAUUGCGCAAUGGAGGAAACUCUGACGCAGCGACGCCGCGUGGGUGACGAAGGCUUUCGGGUCGUAAAGCCCUGUCGAAAGGGAAGAAAAAUGGUAUGGCUAAUAUCCAUAUCACUUGACGGUACCUUUAGAGGAAGCACCGGCUAACUACGUGCCAGCAGCCGCGGUAAUACGUAGGGUGCUAGCGUUGUUCGGAAUCAUUGGGCGUAAAGCGUGUGUAGGUGGUUAGUUAAGUCGGGUGUGAAAUCCCUAGGCUCAACCAAGGAAGUGCAUCCGAAACUAAUUAGCUAGAAGAUGGUAGAGAAAGGUGGAAUUCCAAGUGUAGAGGUGAAAUUCGUAGAUAUUUGGAGGAAUACCGGUGGCGAAGGCGGCCUUUUGGACCAUUCUUGACACUGAGACACGAAAGCGUGGGGAGCAAACAGGAUUAGAUACCCCCGUAGUCC